CUGGUAUAGCAGGUGAUUGCUCAGAUUCUGAGAGGAAAGUCCGAGCUACAGAGACAGGAUUCCAUUUAACAAAUGGCUAGCGUAAGCUAAGGGAAAGUGCAACAGAAAAGAACCGCUAUUUUUUAUAGUAAGGGUGAAAAGGUGGGGUAAGAGCCCACCGGGAUUGAAGCAAUUCUCUCCGUCCGUGUAAACCCAAUCCGUAGCAAAAAGAGUAUGGUUAGUGUCUCAUUCUUCAAAACUCUUUGCUUGAGCGUCGUUGUAAAACCGCGCCUAGAUAAAUAAUCACUCAAUGACAGAACUCGGCUUAUCGCUAUACCAAAUUC
This 323-nucleotide RNase P RNA is filed under the name Helicobacter mustelae 12198. RNAcentral's name for it is "Bacterial RNase P class A". It matches the Rfam family "Bacterial RNase P class A". From Rfam's summary of the family: Ribonuclease P (RNase P) is a ubiquitous endoribonuclease, found in archaea, bacteria and eukarya as well as chloroplasts and mitochondria. Its best characterised activity is the generation of mature 5'-ends of tRNAs by cleaving the 5'-leader elements of precursor-tRNAs. Cellular RNase Ps are ribonucleoproteins. Lineage: Bacteria; Pseudomonadati; Campylobacterota; Epsilonproteobacteria; Campylobacterales; Helicobacteraceae. The record is from Rfam by way of RNAcentral.